This 76-nucleotide transfer RNA is filed under the name Formosimonas limnophila. Its description in RNAcentral is "tRNA-Arg". It matches the Rfam family "tRNA". From Rfam's summary of the family: Transfer RNA (tRNA) molecules are approximately 80 nucleotides in length. Lineage: Bacteria; Pseudomonadati; Pseudomonadota; Betaproteobacteria; Burkholderiales; Burkholderiaceae. The record is from RNAcentral.
GCCGCCGUAGCUCAGUGGAUAGAGCAAUUUCCUCCUAAGAAAUGGGUCGCACGUUCGAUUCGUGCCGGUGGCGCCA